UACACACCGCCCGUCACACCAUGGGAGUUGAUUGCACCAGAAGUAGGUAGCCUAACCGCAAGGGGGGCGCUUACCACGGUGUGGUCAAUGACUGGGGUGAAGUCGUAACAAGGUACCC
This 118-nucleotide ribosomal RNA is filed under the name uncultured bacterium. Its description in RNAcentral is "partial 16S ribosomal RNA". It matches the Rfam family "Bacterial small subunit ribosomal RNA", at positions 1384 to 1501 of the family's 1533-position model. The record is from RNAcentral.